GAGACUAUAUACAGGGGGUACCGGUACAGAGUCAAUGUGGAGACUAUAUACAGGGGGGUACUGGUACAGAGUCAAUGUGGAGGCUAUAUACAGGGGGGUACCGGUACAGAGUCAAUGUGGAGACUAUAUACAGGGGGUACCGGUACAGAGUCAAUAUGGAGACUAUAUACAGGGGGGGUACCGGUACAGAGUCAAUGUGGAGACUAUAUACAGGGGGGUACCGGUACAGAGUCAAUAUGGAGACUAUAUACAGGGGGUACCGGUACAGAGUCAAUGUGGAGGCUAUAUACAGGGGGUACUGGUACAGAGUCAAUGUGGAGGCUAUAUACAGGGGGGUACCGGUACAGAGUCAAUGUGGAGACUAUAUACAGGGGGUACCGGUACAGAGUCAAUAUGGAGGCUAUAUACAGGGGGUACCGGUACAGAGUCAAUGUGGAGACUAUAUACAGGGGGGUACCGGUACAGAGUCAAUGUGGAGACUAUAUACAGGGGGUACCGGUACAGAGUCAAUAUGGAGACUAUAUACAGGGGGUACCGGUACAGAGUCAAUAUGGAGACUAUAUACAGGGGGGUACCGGUACAGAGUCAAUAUGGAGACUAUAUACAGGGGGUACCGGUACAGAGUCAAUAUGGAGACUAUAUACAGGGGGUACCGGUACAGAGUCAAUGUGGAGGCUAUAUACAGGGGGUACCUGUACAGAGUCAAUGUGGAGGCUAUAUACAGGGGGUACCGGUAGAGAGUCAAUGUGGAGACUAUAUACAGGGGGUACCGGUACAGAGUCAAUGUGGAGGCUAUAUACAGGGGGUACCGGUAC
RNAcentral lists this long non-coding RNA (815 nucleotides) under Salmo salar (Atlantic salmon). Its description in RNAcentral is "lncRNA (ENSSSAG00000098851.1)". The record is from RNAcentral. Lineage: Eukaryota; Metazoa; Chordata; Actinopteri; Salmoniformes; Salmonidae.